Molecule: ribosomal RNA, 501 nt
Filed under: uncultured bacterium
Lineage: Bacteria
Description: partial 16S ribosomal RNA
Rfam family: Bacterial small subunit ribosomal RNA
Source: RNAcentral
AUUGAAUGCUGGCGGCAGGCUUAACACAUGCAAGUCGAGCGGAGAUGAGGUGCUUGCACCUUAUCUUAGCGGCGGACGGGUGAGUAAUGCUUAGGAAUCUGCCUAUUAGUGGGGGACAACAUUCCGAAAGGAAUGCUAAUACCGCAUACGUCCUACGGGAGAAAGCAGGGGAUCUUCGGACCUUGCGCUAAUAGAUGAGCCUAAGUCGGAUUGGCUAGUUGGUGGGGUAAAGGCCUACCAAGGCGACGAUCUGUAGCGGGUCUGAGAGGAUGCUCCGCCACACUCGGGCUGAGACACGGCCCGGACGCCGACGGGGGGCAGCAGUGGGGAAUAUUGGACAAUGGGGGGAACCCUGCUCCAGCCAUGCCGCGUGUGUGAAGAAGGCCUUAUGGUUGUAAAGCACUUUAAGCGAGGAGGAGGCUACUGAGACUAAUACUCUUGGAUAGUGGACGUUACUCGCAGAAUAAGCACCGGCUAACUCUGUGCCAGCCGCCGCCGUAA